Molecule: ribosomal RNA, 440 nt
Filed under: uncultured bacterium
Lineage: Bacteria
Description: partial 16S ribosomal RNA
Rfam family: Bacterial small subunit ribosomal RNA
Source: RNAcentral
CCUACGGGUGACUGCAGUAGGGAAUUUUGCGCAAUGGGCGAAAGCCUGACGCAGCAACGCCGCGUGAUCGAGACGCCCUUCGGGGUGUAAAGAUCUGUCAGUGGGGACGAAACUUGACGGUACCCACAGAGGAAGCACCGGCUAACUCGGUGCCAGCAGCCGCGGUCAUACGGGGGGUGCACGCGUUGUCCGGGAUCAGUGGGGGUAAAGCGUUCGUAGGGGGGACGGAAAGUCUGGUGUUAAAGGCGGAGGCUCAACUUCUGUACGGCACUGGAUACUGGCGAGCUAGAAUGCGGUAGGGGUAGAGGGAAUGCGUGGUGUAGCGGUGAAAUGCUUAGAUAUCAGGAGGAACAUCGGUGGCGAAGGCGCUUUACUGGGCCGUAAUUGACGCUGAGGAACGAAAGCCAGGGUAGCAAAUGGGAUUAGAUACCCUAGUAGUC